AGUGAUUCAUCUCUGGCGAUCAUACCGGAUAUAUGCUUGCAAUCUGCAUAGCCGAUUCAUCAUCAGCAUAUAGAGUAGUUGCAAAUAUCUGUAAUGCACGGCGCAGUUCGGCCAUUGCUUGAAUUUGCUUUGUAUCAAUCAUAUUGAUUCUCCUUUAUUCUCGACAUUACACCUGUUCUUGCCAGCCAGCCGGAUAUGCUGUUGGUGAAUAUACAUUCCCGUCCAUCAGGCUGAUGUAGUGCUUACCUUCGAACGUCACCUUGCCACCCUUAUUGUAAGUAUCGUGAGCACCAGUAGGCUGUACAAAAUCUGGACAUUUGUCAGGUCGGUUGUAUUUGUCAAGUAUUCAACCAUCAGAAGCUACCUCCAUUCGCGUUUGCGAUCUCUACAGCCGCCCAUGUCCCAUUUACUACUCGUAGGAAUUUUCCAUUAUCUGUAGUGGUUACAGUUGGAACUUCAUGAACCGUGACACCACCUGUUUUGCCGUUGACGGACGUGACGGGUGCGUUAUUCGCAACAUAAUCCGGAAUGCCACCCGCUUGUUCCACUGUGCCAGUAGCGUCAUAUACAGAUUUAAGCAUAUCGCCAGAACCUGUGCACACACCGC
Molecule: ribosomal RNA, 607 nt
Filed under: uncultured bacterium
Lineage: Bacteria
Description: partial 16S ribosomal RNA
Source: RNAcentral